UUAUUAGGGCACACCUCUUUCACAGCUUCAAUGUGAUACUCUAUAUAAGUUAUAAUAAUU
This 60-nucleotide transfer RNA is filed under the name Caligus rogercresseyi. RNAcentral describes it as "tRNA-Glu". Lineage: Eukaryota; Metazoa; Arthropoda; Copepoda; Siphonostomatoida; Caligidae. The record is from RNAcentral.